This 467-nucleotide ribosomal RNA is filed under the name uncultured bacterium. RNAcentral describes it as "partial 16S ribosomal RNA". It matches the Rfam family "Bacterial small subunit ribosomal RNA", at positions 28 to 507 of the family's 1533-position model. The record is from RNAcentral.
GACGAACGCUGGCGGCGUGCUUAACACAUGCAAGUCGAACGGAAAGGCCUCUUUCGGGGGGUACUCGAGUGGCGAACGGGUGAGUAACACGUGAGUAACCUGCCCUUGACUUUGGGAUAACUUCAGGCAACUGGGGCUAAUACCGGCUAGGAGCUCCUGCUGCCUGGUGGGGGUUGGAAAGUUUCGGCGGUUGGGGGUGGACUCGCGGCUUAUCAGCUUGUUGGUGGGGUAGUGGCUUACCAAGGCGUUGGCGGGUAGCCGGACUGAGGGGGUGACCGGCCGCCUUGGGUCUGAGGGGCGGCCCCGACUCCUACGGGUGGCAGAAGGGGGGAAUAUUGACGGAGGAGUGGAGGCCGGAUGCAGAAGCGCCGUGGGCGGGAUGACGGUCUUCGGGUUGUAGAACGCUUUCGCUCAUGACGAAGCUUUGUGUGACGGCAGUGGGUAAAGAAGCACCGGCUAACUACGUG